UGUAAAAUCCAUGGGUUUCUCUGUGAGGUCAUAAUACAACAAUUGCAAAAUCAUGAGGAAGAAAUAACGAGUCAUUGUAAUGGGUGAGUUUCUGCAGCAGGGCAAAGAGGCACACACCUGUUGAGGUGACAAAUCAACUACAGAGGUUUUCUGCCUGCUGCAGACCUUAAUCUUGGAUAUUGUGAAGGGAGUGCCUCUUAAUACUAUUGCCUACUGCUACUCCAUGUCAUCACAAGUGAUAAAUGCCAGGGCAAACCUGGACAGGAUCAGAAGUAACUACAGAGCUCUGGGGGCAGUACUGAGGCGUAUGUGGGCUCAGGUUUGUGCUUUUCCAGACAGCACCACUUCCAUGGAGAAACUCUUCUAUGAAGUGGUUCUCUUCAAAUUCACCCUCAUUGAGCUGAAUUUUGAGAUGCUACAUCCAGAAUACCCUAAGUGCCAAAUUCAAACUCUACUGAGCUCCUAUAUGAAGACCAACAACAUACGACUAUGAAGCAGAAUGAAAGCUUUCAUUUCUACAGGAAUUUGGACAAGAACAGAGAAGCAUCAUUACUUUGUAUCCAAGCUGUACAAGAUGACGCAAAGACGUGCAGGAUGCCAGGGGGCAACCUGUUGAAUAGAAAUAAACUGUUCAAAUUGAAAUAGAGCUUGCUUGGAACGUUCAA
Cygnus olor (mute swan) is the source of this 665-nucleotide long non-coding RNA. RefSeq lists it as uncharacterized. The record is from RefSeq and is a predicted model, not a curated record. The transcript has 2 exons. NCBI's taxonomy places the organism in Eukaryota, Metazoa, Chordata, Aves, Anseriformes, Anatidae.